GACGAACGCUGGCGGCGUGCCUAACACAUGCAAGUCGAGCGGAGGCAUUGAAAUAUUAUGCCUUAGCGGCGGACGGGUGAGUAACGCGUGGGCAACCUGCCCUUUACUGGGGGAUAACACGGAGAAAUUCGUGCUAAUACCGCAUAACAUACAUCAGCUGCAUGGCAGAUGUAUCAAAGGAGUAAUCCGGUAAAGGAUGGGCCCGCGUCUGAUUAGCUAGUUGGUGAGGUAACGGCUCACCAAGGCGACGAUCAGUAGCCGACCUGAGAGGGUGAUCGGCCACACUGGAACUGAGACACGGUCCAGACUCCUACGGGAGGCAGCAGUGGGGAAUAUUGCGCAAUGGGGGAAACCCUGACGCAGCAACGCCGCGUGGAGGAAGAAGGUCUUCGGAUUGUAAACUCCUGUCUUUGGGGACGAAUAAUGACGGUACCCAAGGAGGAAGCCACGGCUAACUACGUGCCAGCAGCCGCGGUAAUACGUAGGUGGCAAGCGUUGUCCGGAAUUAUUGGGCGUAAAGGGCGCGUAGGCGGUACCUUAAGUCAGAUGUGAAAACCCGGGGCUUAACUUCGGAGGUGCAUUUGAAACUGGGGAACUAGAGUGCAGGAGAGGUAAGUGGAACUCCUAGUGUAGCGGUGAAAUGCGUAGAUAUUAGGAGGAACACCAGUGGCGAAGGCGACUUACUGGACUGUAACUGACGCUGAGGCGCGAAAGCGUGGGGAGCAAACAGGAUUAGAUACCCUGGUAGUCCACGCUGUAAACGAUGGAUACUAGGUGUGGGAGGUAUCGACCCCUUCCGUGCCGCAGUAAACGCAAUAAGUAUCCCGCCUGGGGAGUACGGCCGCAAGGUUG
Molecule: ribosomal RNA, 852 nt
Filed under: uncultured bacterium
Lineage: Bacteria
Description: bacterial SSU rRNA
Rfam family: Bacterial small subunit ribosomal RNA
Source: RNAcentral